GUGCUUGCUUUGGCAGCACAUUUACUAAAAUUGGGAUGAUACAGAGAUGAUUAGUGUGGCCCCUACUCAAGGAUGAUAUGCAAAUUUGUGAAGCUUCACAUAUUUUU
Molecule: small nuclear RNA, 107 nt
Organism: Nyctereutes procyonoides (raccoon dog)
Lineage: Eukaryota; Metazoa; Chordata; Mammalia; Carnivora; Canidae
Source: RefSeq, a predicted model, not a curated record